This 408-nucleotide ribosomal RNA is filed under the name Mathildella rubra. RNAcentral describes it as "partial 16S large subunit ribosomal RNA". It matches the Rfam family "Bacterial large subunit ribosomal RNA", at positions 1916 to 2597 of the family's 2925-position model. Lineage: Eukaryota; Metazoa; Arthropoda; Malacostraca; Decapoda; Mathildellidae. The record is from RNAcentral.
AGUCGUUUAAGAGCCGCGGUAUUUUGACCGUGCAAAGGUAGCAUAAUCAUUAGUUUUUUAAUUGGGAACUUGUAUGAAUGGUCGGACAAAGGAAGAACUGUCUAUUAUUAUAAAAAUUGAAAUUAACUUUUAAGUGAAAAGGCUUAAAUAUUUCAAGGGGACGAUAAGACCCUAUAAAGCAUUUUAUUGGGGCGAUAUAGGUAUAAUUAUUAACUGCUUAAAAAGAAAUACAAGAAUAAUUGGAAUGAUCCUUUUUAAAGAUUAAAAGACUAAGUUACUUUAGGGAUAACAGCGUUAUUUCUUUUGAGAGUUCAUAUCGAAAAAGAAGUUUGCGACCUCGAUGUUGAAUUAAAAUGUCUAUAUAAUGCAGCCGUUAUAUAAGAGGGUCUGUUCGACCUUUAAUUUUUU